GGUCUUCGUCCUGCACCUGCAUUGGUAAGAACCGUGCUUUCCAGCACUCAGAUGGUUCAUGUUUGUGCAGAACGGGUUUUAUCUUCUACAAUGAACUGGAUUUCAAAAGCUCCACCUCUGACAGUGAACUGGACUGCCAGCCUGAGGUGAACAGACGGUGUGCCACAGGACAAAUACGUCUGGCAGCAUCCAGAGAGUGUGUGUCACCUUCCCUCCACUCCUGUAAUAUCACCUGUGGACCACAUGGAGGAACUCUGGAUGUGGAGAUGGGCAUGUGAAUCUCAAUUGUGCUUUUCUAUUAUAUUGCUAUUUAAACCUGUAAAAUGCUUGUGAUGGUUGACGUAAUGAGUAUGGAUAGUAUCCAGUAAUAUAGCUUGACAUAGUAUUUGACCUCUUGUCUAAUCCUGAUGCCCCAGCUGCCGAUGUGAGCGGUACGUGUCUGCUGAAGAGCUCUGCAACACGUCCUGCCUUUCCAGACUGCCUCAGCUCUCUGCCCAGUUCUCCAUAGAUGGCCAAUUGCUGCUCAGCCUAAAAGAAAGAGGCAGCAUGGUCUGGGCCAGGGUAAGGCUGUGAUGGAUGUUUUAGGACCAGAUAUCCAUACAAAGAAUGUUGGUGCAAUCCAUUUGGUCCAGUUUGACUCUGAAGGAGUGUUCGGUUGGAUUCCCACACAGAGAGAGCUUGUCAAUCAGUUUCUGUCAGGUGACGAGAUCAGACACGUCAUAUUGAUUCCAUUCUUUUUUAAAUUGCUUAUCAACACACUUGCUCUCUAUAUCCAGCAUAAUAUAACAGUAGAAUGUAACUGAUUUAACAGUGAUAUACCUCUAUUCAGAACCAAUCAAACUCCUAAAUACAAAACCCAGAAGGAGAAGAGAAACAGAAGACGAUGAUGAUGCUGCCGACGUAGCUGUCCUUCCUCGUAUCCCUAACCCCAUCGCCUGUCUGUCCUCCGGUGACAUGCUCAUUUUCCACCUCACCAUCAACCACACAGACCGUCAUCUCAGCCACUUCCCAGUGUAUCAGAAAGACCACCUGUUUAACAGUAACCCCGGCUGGGACUUUGGUGCCUUCAGACGUCUGCAGAUACUCAUGAUGCAGACGAACUUCAACUCUACUAGGUUUGCUCAUGUGUUUUCAGACACAGGCAAGUAUGUGUUUGUUGACAGCGCUGUCCCAGAGUGGAGUAUGGUGGUGGUGGUCAGCGAGGAGGGGACAGAGUGUGACCGUCGGGCUUCAGUCUUCCAGCCCAUGACCCCGGUACAGCUGGUCAAGUAUGGGAUUGUCAAGCAGCACAGACUCAACCUUCUACCUGACUGGGGAGUGAUAGCAGGGAUCCUGAGUCUGCUGCUGGUUGUUGUUGUGGUUGUCACCACCACAGUGCUUGUCCUGCGACCUGGCAAAGUAAAACUUGUCUCCCAGUGGAGGACAAAGCCAAAGUGGCGCAGCCUCGGGGAGCCCUUCUGUCCAGUGGAUAGUGUUUACAGUGGAGAAAGCAUAGCUGUUCCAAGUCUAGGAGACUUCUUAGGCAGUAGGGGUGUAGGAGAGGGAGCAGAAGCUGAGGAGCCUGCUGUUUCGAAAGGAGGUAAGAUCACCAUUUCUGACCCUGUGCUGAGAGCCCUCCUCCAGAAACAUGAUUAAACCCCCUUAAAACUUAUGGAAGCGAUAUAAAGAAAUCAUGGUGUGUGCAGUGAGUGUGAUGGAGUUUGCAGUGAGUUUGCCAGCUGAGUCCUAGGAAAUGAUCUUGUGAAUUAUAUUAUGUUGUAUGCUGAAAUGGCCACAAAGCACAUAGUAUAAGGGAUUUUAUAGUGAGGGGCAACUAUC
Sparus aurata (gilthead seabream) is the source of this 1818-nucleotide long non-coding RNA. NCBI's taxonomy places the organism in Eukaryota, Metazoa, Chordata, Actinopteri, Spariformes, Sparidae. The record is from Ensembl.